Molecule: long non-coding RNA, 1955 nt
Filed under: Mus musculus (house mouse)
Lineage: Eukaryota; Metazoa; Chordata; Mammalia; Rodentia; Muridae
Description: long non-coding RNA chr14:71525888-71527843
Source: RNAcentral
GUUAUGAUAGCUCAGUUCACUCAUUAAAAGAUCCUGAUGAGAAGCAAUGUGUUCUUUCCCAGUAAAAAGGCUCAGAGCAGCAUGCAUAUAACAUGCAUUGUGGUUUCUUGCAUGCCUAGGGCUUCUAUUGUUUCAGAAGUGCUGCUUGAUAGAGCUGGCUAUGAAGAGAGAUCCUUGGAUAGCCUUCAUAUUCAGAUUAAUUCCUACCACAUAAAGGUUCAAGGGCAGAGAAAAUGGGAGCAAGGCAUGGAUAAAAGGGAAUGCAGGCAUCAGGAUGAGAUUUGUUCUUGCCAAGGAGUGGGAAGAAUAUAGCAGGGGAAGUUUGGGAGUGCAUGUCAUUGGAGGGCGGGCACAUUUCCUGUGUAGCCUAGUGCUGAAUCCACUAGAUAGCUGACCCACCUGAAUACUGGGCAAUGAUUGCUGAACAUGCAGAAGUGGCUGUUAGAGAAGGCUAAGUUUGGUAAGGAGGGAUUUCUGGUCAGAAGACUGCCUGAUUAGAAAGGUUGCCACCAGAAGUCAAUAGAAGAAAGAAUGAAUUUUUGCCCCUUAAAUUGAACAGCUAUCUUGUUGGCUAAGGGGUCCUGCUUCAUCUGCAGGAUGAAUAUUCCCCCUUCCUUUUUCUACCAGAGGAAAAAGUUUGAGCAUCUUGGGAUUCUCCUGAGCUCCUGCAUGGAAAAUCAGACAUCCUACCCCACAAAAUUAUGAUCAAGCAGUCAGUUUCAUAGUGGGAAUGCCAUGACUCCUUCUGUUGUGCAACUUGCUUCUUGGGCUCAGUCAGGCUGGCUGCUGGCUGUAGUUGACCAGUAGGCUAUGAAUUAUUCUGUCAAGUGUCUCUGUACUGAUCUCUCUAAUUUCUUGGUGAUUUUGAGGGUCUCCUCUUGAUUCUCCUUCAACUUCCUUGAGUUGAAUUGGCCCAUGACCCCUGGCUCUUGAGUGCGCUCAUGUGGUAGGCACUCUAUUGCCGAGGGGUUAUGAUAAAGUGGCAUCUCUCAGAGUAUCACAUGGUCAAUAGAAACAGUUAUUUGUUUGACAUGCCCAUGGAUUGAGCCUUAGCUAUCCCACUGCCUUCCUUCCUCCGGUCUUCUCCCGACUAUGCACAUAUUCUUUCCUUCUACUCAGCUAAGGAUGGAAGAGUUUCCCAGGUACCCUGACAAAUCAACAUUCAGUAACAGACAAAGCAAGUGCUUACUCAGUUUUUACUAGAGGCAAAGCUCCACUCCAAGAUGGAGUUGGGGUUUUGUGAAGUUUGGGCUGCCAUAAUAAAACUCCAUAGACUGAGAAUCUUUAAAACAGAGAUUUAUUUUCUCAUCAUUUUGUAUUUUGGCAGUCUUGAGAUCAGAGUGAUAAGAUGGCUGUGCUCUGGUAAGGGUUGUCUUCUUGGUUUAUAGAUACAACUGGUGUAUCUACUAAUAUCUCAGUUUUACUAAUGACAUAAAGGAGCUAUAGGACGGUUGAGAAAUAUGGUUGUAUUUAUACAUCUGGGAAGCUGCAGCACUCAAGUUUGAAUAUACAUAGAUUUGAGGCUUAGUAGUGCUUACUAUCCCAUCUUAUGCUCUUCAUGUCCAGUCUCAUCCAGUGUCCUCUGGUCCUCAGUUGUACUAUGGCGAGCAAUGUACCCCACUAGCCCAUGUGUUAAGGCUUGGCCUCCAGUGAACUACUAUUGGGAGGUGGUAAACACGUGAAGGGGUCUUAAGGUCAUUAGAGUUUUGUCCUUGAAUUAGAUAAUGGGAAUCAUUUCUUCUGUUCCCCUUUCUCUUCUUUGUUCUCAACCAUGAGGUGAAUGAGCCUCCUCUAAACAUUCCUACCAUGAUUUACUAUCUCAGCCAAAGCAAUAGGGUCUGGACUGAAGGCUCCAAAAGGCAGAGCCAAAAUAACUGUUUCCCUUGAAAGUCAAUUACCUCAGGGAUUCUUUAUAGAAUUAGAAAGUUGACAGACUGUCAUCACUCAGUGGAAGG